UACGUAGGUGGCAAGCGUUAUCCGGAUUUAUUGGGUGUAAAGGGCGUGUAGGCGGGAGCGCAAGUCAGAUGUGAAAACUCAGGGCUCAACCCUGAGCCUGCAUUUGAAACUGUGUUUCUUGAGUGCUGGAGAGGCAAUCGGAAUUCCGUGUGUAGCGGUGAAAUGCGUAGAUAUACGGAGGAACACCAGUGGCGAAGGCGGAUUGCUGGACAGUAACCGACGCUGAGGCGCGAAAGCGUGGGGAGCAAACAGG
RNAcentral lists this ribosomal RNA (253 nucleotides) under uncultured bacterium. RNAcentral's name for it is "partial 16S ribosomal RNA". It matches the Rfam family "Bacterial small subunit ribosomal RNA", at positions 524 to 776 of the family's 1533-position model. The record is from RNAcentral.